This is a small nuclear RNA of Cucurbita pepo subsp. pepo (vegetable marrow), 157 nucleotides long. RefSeq annotates it as U12 minor spliceosomal RNA. The record is from RefSeq and is a predicted model, not a curated record. NCBI's taxonomy places the organism in Eukaryota, Viridiplantae, Streptophyta, Magnoliopsida, Cucurbitales, Cucurbitaceae.
UAGCCUUAAACGAAUAAGUAAGGAAAACAAAGUGGCUUGGGGGAUCUGGCCUCAGCGCUACUCAAUGUAAUGUGCAUGAAUUUGUGGAGGGGAUAGAGACUGGCCAAUUGUUGACGUUGCUUACUUCUCCAAGAGUAGGAGGUUAAUGGUUCUCUUU